GACUUCUUAGCUCAGUGGUAGAGCGUGAGAUUCCAGCUUGUUCCUGGAACUUCCUCAAGGUCAUCCGUUCAAUCCGGGUAGAGGUCA
This 87-nucleotide transfer RNA is filed under the name Rhizoctonia solani. RNAcentral's name for it is "tRNA-Trp". It matches the Rfam family "tRNA". From Rfam's summary of the family: Transfer RNA (tRNA) molecules are approximately 80 nucleotides in length. Their secondary structure includes four short double-helical elements and three loops (D, anti-codon, and T loops). The record is from RNAcentral. RNAcentral also lists the same sequence under 1 other name. Lineage: Eukaryota; Fungi; Basidiomycota; Agaricomycetes; Cantharellales; Ceratobasidiaceae.